GAAUAGCUCAGCUGGUUAGAGCGUGGUGCUGAUAACGCCAAGGUUGCAGGUUCGAUCCCCGUAUGGGGCAGCU
Podarcis lilfordi (Lilford's wall lizard) is the source of this 73-nucleotide non-coding RNA. The record is from the annotation of a GenBank genome assembly. Lineage: Eukaryota; Metazoa; Chordata; Lepidosauria; Squamata; Lacertidae.